CUGACCAACAUGGAGACGGUGCACAUCCCGACGACCAGCCAAGCGCUGGGACACGACCAGACAGGGAACCCCAUGCAGCAGUACAGCACCAUCGACCAGUACUCCAUCCCCAUGCUCAUGGGCUUCAUGCCUGCCGUCAGCAACCCAGGCGGGUUCUCUCAAACCCCCAUGGGGACCCCCGGCUUCCACAAUAGGCAGCAGUAUUAGGUCCAUAUCCAUGCUUUACACCAGGUUGGAGUUGAUUGGAAAGUGUAGGCAUUUCGUCAGCUUUUCACAGUGUUGGAAGAAGAACAUCUGAACGUGUUCUGUGAGCUGCAAAUUCUCUUUGCAGAAAGAAUUGAAUCACCAAGCCCAAUGCUUGAUACAGUGACAGAGAAGAAUCAAAGAUGCAGAAAAUGAUGAAGACACGAGUGAAUCACAGUCAAGUGCUUUAGGUCUAGAGCUUAUGUGAAGGAGAGAACGUCCAGUACAGUUUAGUUCAUCCUCGGAGAGUUGACAUCAGGUUCUUCCCAAGUUCCUGUCCAUCAUGACAGAUUGGAGUUCAAGACAUGCAUCAAAAGACAAGUGAAGUAGUCAACUAAACUUCAGUAUUGUAUAGAACGGUAAACGUGAGAAAUGUGUAUUACUUUAAUGUAUUUUAUGUUGUAUGAUGAAAAAAAAACAGUUCAUUGUUUUAGAGGCAAUGGAGAUUGGUAUAUGCUGAAAUCAGCUAAUAGAUCAGUGAAUUUGUCAAAAUUUGAGGUGUUCGGCUAUGUGCAAGUCCCAUGUGUGAUUUGGGAAAAUCACCAGUAUUGUCAAACGCAAGAGAAGCAGAAUAAUACUGUUACUUUUGUAGUUUUGUACCUGAUAUAUUUGGUACCAUUUAGUAGAAAUAACUUUGUAUCAAGUAAAUGUAUUACAUUUAGAGUAUACUAUAUGUAUUAAAAAAAUGUAGUACAGUUCUCUUUUCCAAGGAUUGACCAAAAAUGCAAAAUUAAUUCUGUUUGGUUUCUGUUGGCGAUACAUGAACCAAGGUUCCAAUUUAGGAAACCUGGCUGGUAACAGUAACAGUUUAGAUGUUAGUUCUCUUAUUGAUAAUGGACACAGGCUAGUCCAUGUAGGUCUUUUGUUUUAAAUUUAUCUAAAAUUUGUCCUGCUACGAUACUGUUGUAGAAACAGUAGAACUAACACUGUACAUGUACAUAGUAGUCUGUGCAAUGUGGCUAUGACAGGCUCUGAUGGUGGCAAUUCCAUUGGCUCAGUGCAGUUCUGUGUAGGAAACAGUAGACCACUACCGGUAACCUUCCGCCAUCUUGAAUUUCAAGGUCAAAAGGAAUUUUCGUAAAUUUUAUCAUAACUUUGAUUUAUGCUAGUUUUGGAUGUUUCAAAAGUAAAAACUAAAUGAUCCACCAUAUGGUAAAAUGUUGAACACCAACCUUGCCGGCUUUUGUUUUUCAUAUUUGGCACCUUGGAAUGACAGGAAAAUGCUUUCAAUCACGGAGGUGAAAUACAGAGUAUGAUACAGAGUGUUGGUCAAUCAGAAAGGUUACUUUAAUGGUGGUCUUUUAAAAGAAGAAGAAUGGAGUUAAUGAUUUGCAUAUCUUUAUUUGCUAAUAUAUUAUAAUCUCUGUAUUAUGUAGAUCUAAUUCAAUAUGUAAUUUCGUAUAUUAUUGUUAAAUGUGCAAGCUAAAUUAUGUUAAAAUUGAUUGAAAAAGCAAUCAUUGUAUCAGCUUGGCUAGACCACUGCCUGUAGUUAAUAUUAUACGUUAUAGUAGAACCUUAUUCACAUAGGCAUAGGCAGCUCACAGCCUGGCAGUAUCCUUUAUGAUAAGUUAUU
Molecule: long non-coding RNA, 1816 nt
Organism: Branchiostoma floridae (Florida lancelet)
Lineage: Eukaryota; Metazoa; Chordata; Leptocardii; Amphioxiformes; Branchiostomatidae
Exons: 3
Source: RefSeq, a predicted model, not a curated record